Molecule: non-coding RNA, 416 nt
Organism: Plectropomus leopardus (leopard coralgrouper)
Lineage: Eukaryota; Metazoa; Chordata; Actinopteri; Perciformes; Serranidae
Source: RefSeq, a predicted model, not a curated record
CUUCCAGGAGUUGUUUGUUGAGAUGAUUGCCAAAGAUUCCCUGGUGUACGCCCAGCAGGGGAAGCGGAAAACUUUGCAAAGAAAAGACCUGGACAACGCAAUAGAGGCCAUAGAUGAAUUUGCAUUUCUUGAAGGCACACUCGAUUAAACGCUGCUUCAGAAGACGAGAACAUUGAAUAUCCACAACCAUCCAAGAAAUAUUGUAUUACAGGGACACAAUUUGUUUGUUUUGAACAUCCUUCUACUAUACUUUUUUAAGUCAAACUCUCAAAUUGGAUAUUUAUAAAUGCUUUUCUACAAUGUGCCAUUAAGAUUUUUCAUACUUAACUUUGAGGAAUUCAGUGGGAAUGUGUACAUUUUUUGUAAAUAUUUGUGAAAUACUACUGUACAAUUGAAUAAAUGUAAGUUUUAAACAA